This is a long non-coding RNA of Pygocentrus nattereri (red-bellied piranha), 270 nucleotides long. RefSeq lists it as uncharacterized. The transcript is spliced from 3 exons. The record is from RefSeq and is a predicted model, not a curated record. Lineage: Eukaryota; Metazoa; Chordata; Actinopteri; Characiformes; Serrasalmidae.
UGCCAGCCUCAGAGACUCCGCAGAACCAAACAUCCUAAGUGGCAAAUGCCGUCAGAGUCAAAGCAGAAAACAGGCUGGAUUUACAGAGGUACAGGGUCGCUAUGGCAAGUCCAGAAGUCUGGAAACACUUUACGGAACAGAGGAAGGAGAGGUUGGCAGAAAACCAUAAGGAGAAGCAAAAUGUUCAGACCAGAGAGUGAAUCACCAGCAACAACUUGAAUCUCUGCUACAUCUGUCAGUGAAGCAACUGCUGACUGGCUUCUAUUCUAA